AGGACGAACGCUGGCGGCGUGCUUAACACAUGCAAGUCGAGCGGAAAGGCCCUUCGGGGUACUCGAGCGGCGAACGGGUGAGUAACACGUGAGUAAUCUGCCCCUAGCUCUGGGAUAGCUCCGGGAAACCGGGAUUAAUACCAGAUACGACCACUUUAGACAUCUUCUGUGGUGGAAAGAACUUCGGCUAGGGAUGAACUCGCGGCCUAUCAGCUUGUUGGUGAGGUAACGGCUCACCAAGGCGACGACGGGUAGCCGGCCUGAGAGGGCGACCGGCCACACUGGGACUGAGACACGGCCCAGACUCCUACGGGAGGCAGCAGUGGGGAAUAUUGCGCAAUGGGCGAAAGCCUGACGCAGCGACGCCGCGUGGGGGAUGAAGGCCUUCGGGUUGUAACCCCUUUCAGCAGGGACGAAGCGAAAGUGACGGUACCUGCAGAAGAGCGCCGGCUAACUACGCGCCAGCAGCCGC
RNAcentral lists this ribosomal RNA (472 nucleotides) under uncultured bacterium. Its description in RNAcentral is "SSU rRNA". It matches the Rfam family "Bacterial small subunit ribosomal RNA", at positions 26 to 518 of the family's 1533-position model. The record is from RNAcentral.